AACGAACGCUGGCGGCAGGCUUAACACAUGCAAGUCGAGCGCCCCGCAAGGGGAGCGGCAGACGGGUGAGUAACGCGUGGGAACGUACCUUUUGGUUCGGAACAACUCCGGGAAACUGGAGCUAAUACCGGAUAAGCCCUAACGGGGAAAGAUUUAUCGCCGAAAGAUCGGCCCGCGUCUGAUUAGCUAGUUGGUGAGGUAACGGCUCACCAAGGCGACGAUCAGUAGCUGGUCUGAGAGGAUGAUCAGCCACACUGGGACUGAGACACGGCCCAGACUCGUACGGGAGGCAGCAGUGGGGAAUAUUGGACAAUGGGCGCAAGCCUGAGACAGCCAUGCCGCGUGAGCGAUGAAGGCCUUAGGGUUGUAAAGCUCUUUUGUCCGGGAAGAUAAUGACUGUACCGGAAGAAUAAGCCCCGGCUAACUUCGUG
This 431-nucleotide ribosomal RNA is filed under the name uncultured bacterium. Its description in RNAcentral is "partial 16S ribosomal RNA". It matches the Rfam family "Bacterial small subunit ribosomal RNA", at positions 29 to 507 of the family's 1533-position model. The record is from RNAcentral.